UACAAUUUUAAUUGUAAUGUUACUAAUUAAUAACAUAGAUACUCCUCUGUCCUCCAGGUACGUGUUAGUUAAGAAGUUAUAUUUUAUCGCUAUUUGAAAUAAGUAGACUGCUUCUGUCUAAGUGUGUGUGUGUUAAGGUCGUUGAGCGAAACCUCCAGCUGCUGCCCACCGAACCCCACGAUGAACCUUCAGCUGUCGUUCUGCCUCUCAGUGCUGGUGAGCUGAGCAGCGCCUGGUACAAUAUUCAGUUCCUCUCUUCAGACUCCUUCAUCUCACAGUCUGGGUCAGUGGACAUUAGGAGAUACUUCCUCGACAUUAUAAGGGGUCCAGAGCAUCGGUUCUGCUGGUUUAAAACCACCCAAACCUGCUACUCUGAUCAGGGGG
This is a long non-coding RNA of Ictalurus punctatus (channel catfish), 384 nucleotides long. RefSeq lists it as uncharacterized. NCBI's taxonomy places the organism in Eukaryota, Metazoa, Chordata, Actinopteri, Siluriformes, Ictaluridae. The transcript has 3 exons. The record is from RefSeq and is a predicted model, not a curated record.